CGCCGUACUUCUUGGCCACCUUGGCCAUCUCCUCCUGCGCCACGUACAGCUGCCACGCCGCGGACAGGCGGCCGGCGUCCUUGCCGGAGUCGGAGUAGCCGACCAUCACCUGCUGCUUGCCGUUGAUGUGGUUGAUGUACCAGUCAGUGGAGAAGAGCUUCUCCACGGACGCCGGCGCCGCCUGCAGGUCGGCCAGCCUCUCGAACAGCGGCACCACGGGGAGCGUCUGGCGAAUGCCACACUCGCGCUGCAGGAGCUCGACGGCGAGCACGUCCGAGGGCGCCGUGCACAUGGAGAUGAUGUAGGGGCCGAAGCUGUCGAUCGGGAGCUCGGCCAGGACGCGCAUGGCGCCGAUGACGUCGGCGAUCUCCUCGGUCAUGGGAAGGUCCGGGGGCAGCAGUGGGCGCUUGCCUUUCAGCUCCGACACCAGCCACUCCAUCCGCUUGUCCUCGGGCCACGAGCGGUACGACCCGAUGCCGAGGUGCGUGGUGAUGGCGUCGAUCACGUCGGUGUGCCGCUCCGACUCCUGCCGGAUGUCCAGCUUCACCAGGGAGAGACCGAACGCGAACACCUGGCGAAGGAG
This 583-nucleotide long non-coding RNA is filed under the name Sorghum bicolor (sorghum). RNAcentral's name for it is "long non-coding RNA (SBIC_LNC018062)". Lineage: Eukaryota; Viridiplantae; Streptophyta; Magnoliopsida; Poales; Poaceae. The record is from RNAcentral.